UCCCUCUCGGAUAGCGAAUCUCAUCCCUUGCUCACAAGCAAUUGGCAUAAUAAGCUCGACCACCAUCUUCACUCGGUCGCCAGGCAUCACCAUCUUCGAUUCUUCAUCCUUGUCAUUCAUGAUCGUAGACACCCUCCCUGUAACAUCGGUUGUCCUCAUGUAAAACUGUGGCCUGUACCCUGCAAAAAAGGGGGAAUGCCUUCCACCCUCCUCCUUCUUCAACACGUACACAAUGGCUAUAAACUUUGUGUGCGGAGUAAUAGUCCCUGGCUUAGACAAAACCAUCCCCCUCUGGAUAUCUACCUUUUGAAUGCCUCUUAACAACAACCCCACAUUGUCCCCAGCCAACGCCUCGUCCAAAGUCUUUUGAAACAUCUCAACACCAGUCACAGUAGUAUUCCUAGUCUCUCUAAGUCCGACAAUAUCCACAGUGUCCCCAAUCCUAAUAGUCCCUCUCUCUACCCUGCCGGUAGCAACGGUACCUCUACCCGUGAUAGUAAAAACAUCCUCAAUAGCCAUCAAGAAUGGUAAAUCAGUCUGCCUCUGAGGAAUAGGAAUAUAUUCAUCAACAGAAUC
This 576-nucleotide long non-coding RNA is filed under the name Olea europaea (common olive). RNAcentral describes it as "long non-coding RNA (OEUR_LNC004615)". The record is from RNAcentral. Lineage: Eukaryota; Viridiplantae; Streptophyta; Magnoliopsida; Lamiales; Oleaceae.